This 464-nucleotide ribosomal RNA is filed under the name uncultured bacterium. Its description in RNAcentral is "bacterial SSU rRNA". It matches the Rfam family "Bacterial small subunit ribosomal RNA", at positions 28 to 507 of the family's 1533-position model. The record is from RNAcentral.
GACGAACGCUGGCGGCGUGCUUAACACAUGCAAGUCGAACGGUAAGGCCCUUUCGGGGGUACACGAGUGGCGAACGGGUGAGUAACACGUGGGUAAUCUGCCCUGCACUCUGGGAUAAGCCUGGGAAACUGGGUCUAAUACCGGAUAUGAGCCUUCAUCGCAUGGUGGGGGUUGGAAAGUUUUUUCGGUGCAGGAUGUGCCCGCGGCCUAUCAGCUUGUUGGUGGGGUAAUGGCCUACCAAGGCGACGACGGGUAGCCGGCCUGAGAGGGUGAUCGGCCACACUGGGACUGAGACACGGCCCAGACUCCUACGGGAGGCAGCAGUGGGGAAUAUUGCACAAUGGGCGGAAGCCUGAUGCAGCGACGCCGCGUGGGGGAUGACGGUCUUCGGAUUGUAAACCCCUUUCAGUAGGGACGAAGCGCAAGUGACGGUACCUGCAGAAGAAGCACCGGCCAACUACGUG